AUUGAACGCUGGCGGCAUGCCUUACACAUGCAAGUCGAACGGCAGCACGGGGGCAACCCUGGUGGCGAGUGGCGAACGGGUGAGUAACAUAUCGGAACAUACCCUAGAGUGGGGAUAACGUAGCGAAAGUUACGCUAAUACCGCAUACGAUCUAAGGAUGAAAGUGGGGGAUCUUCGGACCUCAUGCUCAUGGAGUGGCCGAUAUCUGAUUAGCUAGUUGGUGAGGUAAAGGCUCACCAAGGCGACGAUCAGUAGCUGGUUUGAGAGAACGACCAGCCACACUGGAACUGAGACACGGUCCAGACUCCUACGGGAGGCAGCAGUGGGGAAUUUUGGACAAUGGGGGCAACCCUGAUCCAGCAAUGCCGCGUGAGUGAAGAAGGCCUUCGGUUGU
This 394-nucleotide ribosomal RNA is filed under the name uncultured bacterium. Its description in RNAcentral is "bacterial SSU rRNA". It matches the Rfam family "Bacterial small subunit ribosomal RNA", at positions 30 to 426 of the family's 1533-position model. The record is from RNAcentral.